Mus spicilegus (steppe mouse) is the source of this 1722-nucleotide long non-coding RNA. The record is from Ensembl. NCBI's taxonomy places the organism in Eukaryota, Metazoa, Chordata, Mammalia, Rodentia, Muridae.
AAAGAAGUUAUAUGCUGUAUUUAGACAAUAAGGAGAAUGUUUCAAGUAUGUGUAUUUGAGUACUCUGGGGAAAUAAGUUAUUACCUGUGAAAAUGCAUCAUAAACCGAAACAGAAGAAAUUGAGGAACUGCACCCUGUCCACAAUUCAAAAACUUUAAAUUCACACGACUAGGCAAACUCGGUUAAAGUGGAGAAAGAACAUUGUGCUAUCUGACACAAAAGAUCACCUGCUACGAAGACAAAGUAACAUUCUACUACCGGAAAGUAAAGAGCCUUUGAAUCAAAACAGACAACCUUUGAUACACAAAAGCUUCAAUUCCGGGUUUAAUAAAGCGCCCUGUGGAUGAGAUGCUCAAUAUUUGUUGAUGGAAGAGUGCUGGGGCUAAAACCAACGAGCAUAUUGGCAUUUGGAGAAUGAGUUAUUACUCAUAAACGCUUUCGGAGCCUCAGACACCAGCGCGGUACAUCAAGCGUAUCCAUCAAUUUGAGGGCUUUCUGGACCUCAGUUUACCCACGUACGGAAACGGGCUUGGCAAGGGCCGGGAGGUGAAAUUAAUUAGUGUUUUUAAAAUGCUCUGAGAUUCCCAAGAUGAAAGGAAACGUAGAGGCACGCAGAGAUGAUGACAAUAAUCAUAACAAUAAAAAGAAUGACUAACUUGGAAUUCUGUGUUACGUAAGGAAGCUGAGAAGUUAUCAGAUUCACACAAACAAAAGAAAAGCCCACCGCCCCUUUGUUCCCCUUCCACUUCGCCGGCCUGCAGCCGGGCCGCGGGAGCGAGAACCGGGCCGCCGAGCUGGGGCUCCCCUCCGCCGCGCACCCGCUCCAGCCGUGGGGGAGGGCGUUCCGGGCAGCUCCUCACAAAGGCGCUUCCUCCCUCCGCGCGGGAUGCGGCGCCGCAAACUCUGCUCCCCGCCGCCUCCCCGCGGGCAGGCGGGCGGGCGGGCGCGCAGGCCGCCGCGCCGCCACCGGCAAAGGCUCGGAGGAAGUUCCGCGCCGCCGGCCCUCGCGCCCCCGUUCGCCGCCCGCGCCGCACUCACCGGACGACUGCUGGUGGCCGGAACGCCAGCUCGGCCCGCCGCACGGACACCCGGGGCGCGGGGGCGGCGCGAGCACCGGUUGAACGCAGGCACCAGCGGAGCCCGCCGCCUUCCCGCCAGCCGCCGAGCCCCGCGAGGCCGAGUGGAACGCGGAGCCGAGCGCGGACUAGAGAGAGAGGCUCGGGCCCGCUUUGUGAGCUACAGCUGAGAGGAAGCUUCCAAGACAGAGGCUACAGAUGCAGGGCACAGCUCUCCAACCUCUGCAGCCAGCUGAUCCUGUAAAUGUGACAGGAGGACUUAGAUGAGACUGGGGCGUCCUCAUUUUCUCUUCCCCAUCUGCUGAGUAGCUGCAGGUGGUGGAAAUAGCAUAGAUCUUCAAACAGGCAUAAGGAGAAAGGCCGUUUACCCACCAGAAGCAAUGGCAGAGAACUAUGCGUAAGAAGCAAAUUUACAUCAUUUGGUAGAUCCAUUCUUCUCGGCCAUCUGCUCCCUGAACAGGGCUCUGCUGUAGUGAGCCUCCCUGAGGGAAGGGGACACUCUCAUACACGGAUGAGACUUGGCCAUAUGACUUGGUUGGCUACUGGACUGCAAACAGAAAUUGUAGAGAUGGAUUCAGGAAACCUCAAGGAUGGUUUCACAACUCCACCUUCGUUCUUUUCCUUGUUCUGAAGGCAGCCUGUUCAG